Molecule: ribosomal RNA, 820 nt
Filed under: uncultured bacterium
Lineage: Bacteria
Description: bacterial SSU rRNA
Rfam family: Bacterial small subunit ribosomal RNA
Source: RNAcentral
GUCGAGGGGCAGCGGGGUUGUAGCAAUACAACUGCCGGCGACCGGCGCACUGGUGAGUAACACGUAUGUAACCUGCCCUCUGCAGGGGGAUAAGCGGAAGAAAUUCCGUCUAAUACCGCAUAAUACAAUUUGGAGACAUCUCCGGGUUGUCAAAGGAGUGAUCCGGCAGAGGAUGGACAUGCGGCGCAUUAGCUAGUCGGCGGGGUAACGGCCCACCGAGGCUACGAUGCGUAGGGGUUCUGAGAGGAAGGUCCCCCACACUGGUACUGAGACACGGACCAGACUCCUACGGGAGGCAGCAGUGAGGAAUAUUGGUCAAUGGGCGGAAGCCUGAACCAGCCAAGUCGCGUGAGGGAAGAUGGUCCUAUGGAUUGUAAACCUCUUUUGCAGGGGAGCAAGGCGCGGUACGUGUACCGCGAAGGAGAGUACCCUGAGAAAAAGCAUCGGCUAACUCCGUGCCAGCAGCCGCGGUAAUACGGAGGAUGCGAGCGUUAUCCGGAUUUAUUGGGUUUAAAGGGUGCGCAGGCGGACUGUUAAGUCAGCGGUAAAAUGUCGGUGCUCAACACCGGCCGGCCGUUGAAACUGGCAGCCUUGAGUGAGCGAGAAGUAUGCGGAAUGCGUGGUGUAGCGGUGAAAUGCAUAGAUAUCACGCAGAACUCCGAUUGCGAAGGCAGCAUACCGGCGCUCAACUGACGCUCAGGCACGAAAGCGUGGGUAUCGAACAGGCUUAGAUACCCUGGUAGUCCACGCAGUAAACGAUGAAUGCUCACUGUCCGGGCCGUUUAAGGCCUGGGUGGUCAAGCGAAAGCGUUAAGCAUUC